GGGGCGUUAGCUCAAUUGGCAGAGCGAUGCCUUUGCAAGGCAUAGGUUAGCGGUUCGACUCCGCUACGCUCCA
RNAcentral lists this transfer RNA (73 nucleotides) under Planctomycetota bacterium. RNAcentral's name for it is "Planctomycetes bacterium tRNA-Ala". It matches the Rfam family "tRNA". From Rfam's summary of the family: Transfer RNA (tRNA) molecules are approximately 80 nucleotides in length. Their secondary structure includes four short double-helical elements and three loops (D, anti-codon, and T loops). The record is from RNAcentral. RNAcentral also lists the same sequence under 1 other name. Lineage: Bacteria; Pseudomonadati; Planctomycetota.